This 433-nucleotide long non-coding RNA is filed under the name Xyrichtys novacula (pearly razorfish). The record is from RNAcentral. Lineage: Eukaryota; Metazoa; Chordata; Actinopteri; Labriformes; Labridae.
CCUGCCACACCUCCUCAUCAGCACUGAUUCCCCACACCUGUGAGUGACAAGCUGCAGCUCCUCACUGCUGAUUAGCCAGCCAGCAUUUAAGUCACUCUGUGUCCCUCAGUCAGUGCCAGAUUGUCUUCGCAGCAUGCACGACUCUCCAGCAUUACUUCUUGGAUUGACUUCUCGGUUUCGACUCCUGCCUGUCCCUGACCACGUCUUAUCGUCUCAGCCCUUGGAUCCCCUGUCAAGUUUCUUCGCUCCGGUGAGAACUUCAGGUUUUGCUGUGUUGCUGGCUUCCUGACCUACUGCCUGUCCACGACUAUCCUUCCGUCUGAUCCCUCUGGAAUUAGUCUGCCCCGCUGAUUGUCUGCCUGGAUUCGACAUUGCCUCCACCUCGACCACGAGCUCAGCCUGCCCAUCGACAGUGCCGCUGCACUUCACAAAG